GCUGGCGUAGCUCAGUCGGUAGAGCAGCUGAUUCGUAAUCAGCAGGUCGGGAGUUCGAGUCUCCCCGCCAGCUCCA
RNAcentral lists this transfer RNA (76 nucleotides) under Oscillospiraceae bacterium. RNAcentral describes it as "tRNA-Thr". It matches the Rfam family "tRNA". From Rfam's summary of the family: Transfer RNA (tRNA) molecules are approximately 80 nucleotides in length. Their secondary structure includes four short double-helical elements and three loops (D, anti-codon, and T loops). The record is from RNAcentral. Lineage: Bacteria; Bacillati; Bacillota; Clostridia; Eubacteriales; Oscillospiraceae.